UUAAUCCACAGCUAGAUGCCUCAUUGGUUGCUGUAUCAGUGGUUUCAGCCACCCUGAGAGAGAGGUAACUAGGCAACUUCAGCUGGAGCAGAAAAAAGCGCUCAAAUCCUGAUACAGCUUAGCAAUGGGAAGGAUGUAGUCCAGAUUACAAAAUGUCCCUGGGACGGGAAAUGGGAUUACCCUUGUUUUAGAAAAAGCAUGGACCUUUGUAGACAUCAGCAUUGGGAGAUAAUUGGGUUUAAACAAUGCAAAGCAUGGAAGAUACAGAAUCACACAUCAGUAAAAAGAUGCUGUGGGAUUUACAGUGUGAAAUACAGACAGAUGGCCACAUGGUGCAUAUUUUGGAAAAAUAUGUCUUCAUUUCUUCCAUGCUGACACAAGGUCUGUAACAGUUAGCCAAGUGGAUAUACUAUUGUGAUUCCAAUAGGAAUAUAUUUUUAACAAGUUGUUGAUUUCCCCUUACAAAUUCAC
RNAcentral lists this long non-coding RNA (471 nucleotides) under Lepisosteus oculatus (spotted gar). RNAcentral's name for it is "lncRNA (ENSLOCG00000021752.1)". Lineage: Eukaryota; Metazoa; Chordata; Actinopteri; Semionotiformes; Lepisosteidae. The record is from RNAcentral.